UUAAAAAUAAGCUAAAUUUAAGCUUUUGGGUUCAUACCUCAAAUAUAAAGAUUCUUCUUUUUUUUAAGGAA
RNAcentral lists this transfer RNA (71 nucleotides) under Samia ricini (Indian eri silkmoth). Its description in RNAcentral is "tRNA-Met". Lineage: Eukaryota; Metazoa; Arthropoda; Insecta; Lepidoptera; Saturniidae. The record is from RNAcentral.